UAAGUAGGAUGACAAGGAGACCAAGGAAGCCCAAACAGGCGAUAGCAGCGAUGAUCGCCACAGCAACUAAUGCUGGAUAGUAACCAUCACCAUCUUCUGUAGACUUAGCUGAGGGAUCUUAUCGAAACAAAUACCGAGCUUUGGAAGUUCUCCAGCUCGAGUAGUGAUGGUCAGGACGUUGCUCUUCUUCUUGCGACCAUUAGACAAGUAGGCUUCUAGCCACACUUGAUAUUCCACAUCUGGCUUCAGUUCACUCAAGAAUAGCUUCCUUUCUAGGCCAGUCUUAGGAACCUUAAAAGUGUCAGCAUCUACUCUUUCAUCCUCGCGUAACUGGAUGGGAUCACAGGGUUUUGUUAGAUAACAGGGCAUCUGGUGCAGUCUGAAAUUUCGAUCUGCCACUGUGAGAGGUGCACCUAAAGCCAACCAUUGUGGUUUGAAUUGCCCUCAUGCCCUGAGAUUCUUAACAGAAAAAUAUAUUGUAUUUCUUUGAAGAUCGACUUUUACCAAUAAUAAUAAUAAUAAUAAUGUAUGGAAAGUGAUUCAAGAGGCAUUACAAGUAAGAGGAAAAGCAUUCUUAGCUCAGAGCUCCCAAAUUAUCUCAUGGUACGUGAAUUUAUAUUUAAUAUUUAUACAGGUAUUUAUAUUUUAAUUAUAGCUGUAUGAACAUCACAGAUAAACAAUUAUCAACAUGUCAGAAACUCAAGCAGCAAAUUUUGUUUUAUUUAUUUACUUCAAUAUAUUGUAUGUGCUGUACUGUAUUAAAAUUUAUCUUUUCAAACCAACAACACUUAAUAUAUGCAAGAGUGGCAUUAAAUGUCAAUUGGAUAGAGGAUCAAUUAUUAUAUUAAUAAGCAUAGCACAAAAUUUUUGUAUUUAUAAUAGAAAUACUGGAUGGGCUGAUAGGGUGCAGAAAUGUGAUGAAUGGAACUGUCAAGAUAUUUUUUCAUUUGCCCCGGCUAGUGGGUCAUUCUGUCCAAAACACGAUCUGUCAAUGGUUUUACAUCCAGGUCCUUAUUUACUGCCGAGAACACGGUGAUUCAGUCAGGUAAAUAAACUAAUAUAAAUGUUUGUGUGUAUAGUUUGUCCAUGGAGGUGUAAACAAAAUUCUAUAGUAGUGCAGGCAAAUCUGGAUAUAUCAAGAUGAAUUGUAUUAUCAUUAGCUAAAUAUUAAUAAUGCAUUGCUAUGAGUUCUAAAUUCAAAAUCAGGUCAUCCCUAAUACAUUUUGUUGAAACUUUUUGGCAAACAACUAGUUUGUAUAAUCAAAUCAAAAGAAUGAGUUUAUAGAAUGUUACAAACAAAUAUUUAGUUAUAUAUUUUAACUGCUAUAGAUCAUACACAAAAUAAUUCUACAAUUUAAAGCAACUUAAUUAUCAUUUACCUUCAUCCAUAGUAGUGUAAGUAAACACUGGCGACGUAAUAGGCUUGGUACCCUGCACGGUGAGAACGAUUUGCAUAGCAUACUCGGUAGAGGGCUGCAGGCCGGUCAAGAUGUGAUCCCAUUCAGACUGGCCAAUGAUAGAUCCCAUAGGCACCAACACCUCCUGGGACCACGUGUUUACAUCAGAAUGCUCCCUGUAAAAAAAAAAUCAUAAUUACCUUAGGUAUUAAAAAUGAUACUUGCCUGCUAGGAUGAUAAUUAUAAUUUAUUAAUUAUAAAAAGUCAAUACAACCACCGCUAUACUGUAGGAUGACCAAGAAACACACUUCCUGUACAGUACGUUAAUUGUUGCAGUGUUUGAAGAUUCUUCAACAUAAAAGCUGUUGAAGUUAUUGACUAAUAAAGGUGUUUAUGUAGA
Non-coding RNA from Procambarus clarkii (red swamp crayfish), 1797 nucleotides. The record is from RefSeq and is a predicted model, not a curated record. Lineage: Eukaryota; Metazoa; Arthropoda; Malacostraca; Decapoda; Cambaridae.